CCUACGGGGGGCAGCAGUGGGGAAUAUUGCACAAUGGGGGAAACCCUGAUGCAGCGACGCCGCGUGAGUGAAGACGUAUUUCGGUAUGUAAAGCUCUAUCAGCAGGGAAGAAAAUGACGGUACCUGAUUAAGAAGCCCCGGCUAACUACGUGCCAGCAGCCGCGGGAAUACGUAGGGGGCAAGCGUUAACCCGAUUUACUGGGUGUAAAGGGAGCGUAGACGGCAGCACAAGUCUGGAGUGAAAUGCCGGGGCUUAACCCCCGAACUGCUUUGGAAACUGUGCAGCUAGAGUGCAGGAGAGGUAAGUGGAAUGCCUAGUGUAGCGGUGAAAUGCGUAGAUAUUAGGAGGAACACCAGUGGCGAAGGCGGCUUACUGGACUGUAACUGACGUUGAGGCUCGAAAGCGUGGGGAGCAAACAGGAUUAGAUACCCGAGUAGUC
RNAcentral lists this ribosomal RNA (440 nucleotides) under uncultured bacterium. Its description in RNAcentral is "partial 16S ribosomal RNA". It matches the Rfam family "Bacterial small subunit ribosomal RNA", at positions 338 to 795 of the family's 1533-position model. The record is from RNAcentral.